RNAcentral lists this long non-coding RNA (244 nucleotides) under Volvox carteri. RNAcentral's name for it is "long non-coding RNA (VCAR_LNC000382)". Lineage: Eukaryota; Viridiplantae; Chlorophyta; Chlorophyceae; Chlamydomonadales; Volvocaceae. The record is from RNAcentral.
UUACAGGGUGGUUAAGCUUCACCAGUGGCCUCCUUCCCGAGGCAAUUCCUUGCUCUCCCCUGCUAGAGGGGCACCCUAGGCCAUUCACCCCAUCCGACUUCAGAGUGUACUCUUUGAGUUUGGCAACUCACCACCAGCAUCCAACCAAAUCUAACGGAUCAACGGCGCGUCAACUUAGGGUUUAAAACAGGUCAGCUCGCGAGUUGAUUUUAUCACGUCCUACACCGUCCACAAAAUGGGGGGC